UCAGACUUCCGGGGGAUACUGCUGGCUAGGGACCGGGAGAGGCCGGGGGAAUUCCCCGGGGUAGGGGUGAAAUUCCUGUAAUCCCGGGAGGACCACCUGUGGCGAAGGCGCCCGGCUGGAACGGGUCCGACGGUGAGGGACGAAGGCCAGGGGAGCGAACCGGAUUAGAUACCCGGGUAGUCCUGGCUGUAAACGAUGCGGGCUAGGUGUCACCAGAGCCACGAGCUCCGGUGGUGCCGGAGGGAAGCCGUUAAGCCCGCCGCCUGGGAAGUACGGCCGCAAGGCUGAAACUUAAAGGAAUUGGCGGGGGAGCACUACAACGGGUGGAGCCUGCGGUUCAAUUGGAUUCAACGCCGGGAAGCUUACCGGGGGAGACAGCUGGAUGAAGGUCGGGCUGAAGACCCUACCAGACUAGCUGAAAGGUGGUGCAUGGCCGCCGUCGGUUCGUACUGUGAAGCAUCCUGUUAAGUCAGGCAACGAGCGAGACCCGCGCCCUCAGUUGCCAGCGGAUCCCUUCGGGGAUGCCGGGCACACUGAGGGGACUGCCGGCGCUAAGCCGGAGGAAGGUGCGGGCAACGGCAGGUCCGUAUGCCCCGAAUCCCCCGGGCUACACGCGGGCUACAAUGGCCGGGACAAUGGGUACCGACCCCGAAAGGGGUAGGUAAUCCCCUAAACCCGGUCUAACCUGGGAUCGAGGGCUGCAACUCGCCCUCGUGAACCUGGAAUCCGUAGUAAUNNCGCCUCAAAAUGGCGCGGUGAAUAC
RNAcentral lists this ribosomal RNA (763 nucleotides) under uncultured archaeon. RNAcentral describes it as "bacterial SSU rRNA". It matches the Rfam family "Archaeal small subunit ribosomal RNA", at positions 566 to 1325 of the family's 1478-position model. The record is from RNAcentral.